AGUGAACGCUGGCGGUAGGCCUAACACAUGCAAGUCGAACGGCAGCACAGUAAGAGCUUGCUCUUACGGGUGGCGAGUGGCGGACGGGUGAGGAAUACAUCGGAAUCUACUUUUUCGUGGGGGAUAACGUAGGGAAACUUACGCUAAUACCGCAUACGACCUACGGGUGAAAGCAGGGGAUCUUCGGACCUUGCGCGAUUGAAUGAGCCGAUGUCGGAUUAGCUAGUUGGCGGGGUAAAGGCCCACCAAGGCGACGAUCCGUAGCUGGUCUGAGAGGAUGAUCAGCAAACCUGGAACUGAGACACGGUCCAGACUCCUACGGGAGGCAGCAGUGGGGAAUAUUGGACAAUGGGCGAAAGCCUGAUCCAGCCAUACCGCGUGGGUGAAGAAGGCCUUCGGGUUGUAAAGCCCUUUUGUUGGGAAAGAAAAGCAGCAGGUUAAUACCCCGCUGUUCUGACGGGACCAAAAGAAUAAGCACCGGCUAACUUCGU
This 491-nucleotide ribosomal RNA is filed under the name uncultured bacterium. Its description in RNAcentral is "partial 16S ribosomal RNA". It matches the Rfam family "Bacterial small subunit ribosomal RNA", at positions 29 to 506 of the family's 1533-position model. The record is from RNAcentral.